CAGCCGUAAACUAUGCGCGUUAGGUGUAUCGGUGACCACGAGUUACCGAGGUGCCGAAGGGAAACCGUGAAACGUGCCGCCUGGGAAGUACGGUCGCAAGGCUGAAACUUAAAGGAAUUGGCGGGGGGAGGCACAACAACGGGUGGAGCCUGCGGUUUAAUUUGGACUCAACGCCGGACAACUCACCGGGAACGACAGCAAUAUGUAGGCCAGGCUGAAGACCUUGCCUGAAUCGCUGAGAGGUGGUGCAUGGC
This 254-nucleotide ribosomal RNA is filed under the name uncultured archaeon. Its description in RNAcentral is "partial 16S ribosomal RNA". It matches the Rfam family "Archaeal small subunit ribosomal RNA", at positions 748 to 998 of the family's 1478-position model. The record is from RNAcentral.